AAAGUCAUAUAAUUUUGUUAUGCACAUGUGUUCAUACAGAGCAGAUUAUCAUGGCUCCUUUGCAAGGAUGACACACAAAUGUGUGAAGUGGUCCAUGUUUUU
Hyaena hyaena (striped hyena) is the source of this 102-nucleotide small nuclear RNA. NCBI's taxonomy places the organism in Eukaryota, Metazoa, Chordata, Mammalia, Carnivora, Hyaenidae. The record is from RefSeq and is a predicted model, not a curated record.